Molecule: ribosomal RNA, 253 nt
Filed under: uncultured bacterium
Lineage: Bacteria
Description: partial 16S ribosomal RNA
Rfam family: Bacterial small subunit ribosomal RNA
Source: RNAcentral
UACAGAGACUGCAAGCGUUAUUCGGAUUCACUGGGCGUAAAGGGUGCGCAGGCGGUUGGGUGUGUCAGAUGUGAAAUCCCGAGGCUUAACCUCGGAACUGCGUCUGAAACUACUCGACUAGAGUACUGGAGAGGGAAACGGAAUUCACGGUGUAGCAGUGAAAUGCGUAGAUAUCGUGAGGAACACCGGAGGCGAAGGCGGUUUCCUGGACAGUUACUGACGCUCAGGCACGAAAGCAUGGGGAGCAAAAGGG